This 402-nucleotide ribosomal RNA is filed under the name uncultured bacterium. Its description in RNAcentral is "bacterial SSU rRNA". It matches the Rfam family "Bacterial small subunit ribosomal RNA", at positions 357 to 776 of the family's 1533-position model. The record is from RNAcentral.
GGGAAUAUUGCACAAUGGGGGAAACCCUGAUGCAGCGACGCCGCGUGAGCGAUGAAGUAUUUCGGUAUGUAAAGCUCUAUCAGCAGGGAAGAAAAUGACGGUACCUGACUAAGAAGCCCCGGCUAACUACGUGCCAGCAGCCGCGGUAAUACGUAGGGGGCAAGCGUUAUCCGGAUUUACUGGGUGUAAAGGGAGCGUAGACGGCGGUGCAAGCCAGAUGUGAAAGCCCGGGGCUCAACCCCGGGACUGCUUUGGAAACUGUGUAACUGGAGUACAGGAGGGGCAGGCGGAAUUCCUGGUGUAGCGGUGAAAUGCGUAGAUAUCAGGAGGAACACCGGCGGCGAAGGCGGCCUGCUGGACUGAAACUGACGUUGAGGCUCGAAAGCGUGGGGAGCAAACAGG